AGAGAGAGACAUGCGCGCAUAUCAAUAAGCGGAGGAAAAGAAACUAACUAGGAUUCCCUCAGUAACGGCGAGUGAAGCGGGAAGAGCUCAAAUUUGAAAUCUUCAAGGUUCUACCUUGACGAAUUGUAGUUUAAAGAAGUGUUUUCUGUUGGAGUUUUGGUAAAAGUUCUUUGGAAUAGGACAUCAUAGAGGGUGAGAAUCCCGUAUUUGACCAUUAUUUCCAGCUUUGUGAUACACUUUCAAAGAGUCGGAUUGUUUGGGAAUGCAGUCCAAAAUGGGUGGUAAAUUUCAUCUAAAGCUAAAUAUUGGCGAGGGACCGAUAGCGAACAAGUACCGUGAGGGAAAGAUGAAAAGAACUUUGAAAAGAGAGUUAAACAGUACGUGAAAUUGUCAAAAGGGAAGCGUUUGACACCAGUGUUGUUUUCUCGAAAAUCAAUUAAAAAAGGCAGGAUUUUGUGUUGUAUUGACUUUAUCAGCUUUCUGCACUCUUUUCUUGUCUUUUUUAAUGCACUUUUCGUUUAACAAGUCAACAUCAAUUUCUUUUGUUGUAAAAGGGUCAUUGGAAGGUGGCUUUCUUUUCGGAGAAAGUGUUUAUAGCCUUUGGCCUCUGCAAUCGGAGAGAUUGAGGUCUGCAGCGUAGAUCCUUCGGGGUUAGAUACAUUUGUGCUAAGUUAUAGCCUUUCAUAGACAACUUGUUGACUAUGAUCAGUCAUGUAGCUUACUCGCUUAUGCUAUUUUACCUACGCUUAGGAUGUUGAUGUGAUACUGCGAGC
This 773-nucleotide ribosomal RNA is filed under the name uncultured Neocallimastigales. Its description in RNAcentral is "partial large subunit ribosomal RNA". It matches the Rfam family "Eukaryotic large subunit ribosomal RNA", at positions 23 to 645 of the family's 3401-position model. Lineage: Eukaryota; Fungi; Neocallimastigomycota; Neocallimastigomycetes; Neocallimastigales. The record is from RNAcentral.